Long non-coding RNA from Pseudophryne corroboree (corroboree frog), 1090 nucleotides. RefSeq lists it as uncharacterized. The transcript has 4 exons. Lineage: Eukaryota; Metazoa; Chordata; Amphibia; Anura; Myobatrachidae. The record is from RefSeq and is a predicted model, not a curated record.
GCCCUCCAUUCCUUUUGGCAGGCUUAGGUUUUCUGGUCUGCAAAGUAUUGAGAUCAUACCCUUGGAAACAUGAUUUAGAGGAUUUGAACAUAUUCCAUAAGAAAUGGCUAGUGAGCAGUAUCGCCAAUUCUGGGCAGGCUUCAUUGAAAUUUAUCAUUAGAAUGAGUACGUGUGGAGAGUGAAGAGCGCGGACUAUUCCAACAGGACCAAGAAGAAUCGGGCAUUUCAACAGUUGAUCGAGUACAGUAGAGGCCAAAACAGUUCUGUGGACAUUGCUUGGGUGAAGAAGAUUGCUAAUUUCCGAACAGUCUUCAUAAAGGAGCACAAGAAGGUGGAAGAUUCACAGCAAUCCGGAGCUGGGACAGAUGAGGUCUAUAAGCUGACGCUGUGGUACUAUGACCUCUUCAAGUUCACAUUGGAGCAGGAGCCGCUGACAAGGUCACUGGGAAGUCUGGAUCCAGAAUCUCCAAUUCUCGUGGAAGAGGAGGCCCAGGAGAGCCUGGAUCUAGAUCUUACCCAGGAGCUGGAGGUGGAGCAGUCGACUCCGGAAUCUGCAGAGGUGGUCGAGUCUGAGGAAUCAGCAGCACCUCAGCCACGUCCUCCCAAACAACGGAGGACAUCCAGGAGGAUCACCUCUGCCGCCUCCAGCUCACAGCAGUUUUUUGCACAUGCUGAUUAGGCCCCCGGAUUCUGAACAAACCAUUGCCAAUUUCAUCGCGGCGGAGAUGAGGCAGAUGACUGAGGAUUAAAAGAGGAUCGACAAGUGCCUGGUACUUGAUGCUACCACACGUGUCAUCGAUUGGACACUGGUCGAUGAGUGGGAGAUAGUUCUGCAGCGUUGGUUUUAUGACCUCAUUUUCCCCGACUUUUGAUCGUUGUGAUGAGUCCACUCCUUGUGCUCCUUCAAGAGACUUCGGAAAUGUGCACUAUUUCUUCUUCACCCAGUGCAUGUUCGCAGCACUGUUAGCCUCUACUGUACUGUUGUAAGAGUUAUGCCCGAUUCUUCUAAUGUUCUGUUGGGAUAGUCCAAGUAAAAAGGGCACUUAUUCUCAUUAUACAGUCAAUGAAACCAGCCCAGAAUUGGCUGUAU